UACGGGGGGGGCAAGCGUUGUUCGGAAUUACUGGGCGUAAAGAGCUCGUAGGCGGCUCGUCGCGUCAGCUGUGAAAACCCGCAGCUUAACUGUGGGCUUGCAGCUGAUACGGGCGGGCUAGAGUUCGGUAGGGGAGACUGGAAUUCCUGGUGUAGCGGUGAAAUGCGCAGAUAUCAGGAGGAACACCGGUGGCGAAGGCGGGUCUCUGGGCCGAUACUGACGCUGAGGAGCGAAAGCGUGGGGAGCGAACAGG
This 253-nucleotide ribosomal RNA is filed under the name uncultured bacterium. Its description in RNAcentral is "partial 16S ribosomal RNA". It matches the Rfam family "Bacterial small subunit ribosomal RNA", at positions 524 to 776 of the family's 1533-position model. The record is from RNAcentral.